This 250-nucleotide ribosomal RNA is filed under the name uncultured bacterium. RNAcentral describes it as "partial 16S ribosomal RNA". It matches the Rfam family "Bacterial small subunit ribosomal RNA", at positions 524 to 773 of the family's 1533-position model. The record is from RNAcentral.
UACGAACUGUGCAAACGUUAUUCGGAAUCACUGGGCUUAAAGGGUGCGUAGGCGGCCAGAUAAGUAGGGUGUGAAAGCCUCCGGCUUAACCGGAGAAUGGCGCUCUAAACUGUCUGGCUGGAGUGAGAUAGGGGUGUGCGGAACUUCCGGUGGAGCGGUGAAAUGUGUUGAUAUCGGAAGGAACGCCGGUGGCGAAAGCGGCACACUGGAUCUCAACUGACGCUGAGGCACGAAAGCCAGGGGAGCAAAC